RNAcentral lists this ribosomal RNA (446 nucleotides) under uncultured bacterium. Its description in RNAcentral is "partial 16S ribosomal RNA". It matches the Rfam family "Bacterial small subunit ribosomal RNA", at positions 338 to 795 of the family's 1533-position model. The record is from RNAcentral.
CCUACGGGUGGCAGCAGUCGAGAAUCAUUCACAAUGGGGGAAACCCUGAUGGUGCGACGCCGCGUGGGGGAAUGAAGGUCUUCGGAUUGUAAACCCCUGUCAUGUGGGAGCAAAUUAAAAAGAUAGUACCACAAGAGGAAGAGACGGCUAACUCUGUGCCAGCAGCCGCGGUAAUACAGAGGUCUCAAGCGUUGUUCGGAAUCACUGGGCGUAAAGCGUGCGUAGGCUGUUUCGUAAGUCGUGUGUGAAAGGCGCGGACUCAACCCGCGGACGGCACAUGAUACUGCGAGACUAGAGUAAUGGAGGGGGAAUCGGAAUUCUCGGUGUAGCAGUGACAUGCGUAGAUAUCGAGAGGAACACUCGUGGCGAAGGCGGGUUCCUGGACAUUAACUGACGCUGAGGCACGAAGGCCAGGGGAGCGAAAGGGAUUAGAUACCCUUGUAGUC